Molecule: long non-coding RNA, 3696 nt
Filed under: Mytilus galloprovincialis (Mediterranean mussel)
Lineage: Eukaryota; Metazoa; Mollusca; Bivalvia; Mytilida; Mytilidae
Source: RNAcentral
AGAUAAGUCAGCAAUCGCCUUUUAUAAGUGAAACUUGUCACUGAACAUUUCACAUACUAUCCGUUGUAAUUGAGCUUAUAGGAUUAAACAUGAAGAUCGCCAUAAUUUUAGUUGCGUGCAUGAUUGGUGAGUUUAAAACUAUACUCUGGUAGUUGUACGGCAAUAUCUUAAGUAUUGUCCUAACAUGUACGUAUAUUGUAUUACAUUAUAGAUACCUGUAUGCACAGACAUAUGUUUUCUUAUCUUAAAGAUAGGCAAAGGUUUCGUGAUUUCCUCUCUCAAUUAAUAUUCUUAGUUACACAAAAAGACAAUGUUAAGAUUCGCUUUCACAAGUUUAUUGUUUAAUGUUAAAUAAAAAUGAAAAGUGUUCUCCCUUUUAAUGCAAGAUUGCACAACAAUUAAAGUAUCUAUCAUAUUAUUACAGACUCACUUGUGUAGAUAGAUAGAUAGUUUACUCUCAUAAAGCCAUACACGUACAAAGGUUACAGAGAAGUUAAAACGUAAUAUACAUAAAGCUUAAUAUGUAGCUGUAGUUUGCAUCACUUGCUUAAAGACGGUUUAAAAAUAAUGCCGACGUUUGUCUAGUGCAUAUCUUAUUGUAAUUGGAACUUUCGAAGGAGGGUUGUCUGCACAUCACCUAUCAUGAGGCUCUGUUUUUCACGCCAUGUCUGCGAGGUUCUCUGAAUGUUUACGCUUUAGUGUAAUUGUCAUGCUAAAUUAUGACCGUAAAUAUUUUCUUUCUUUGACAAAGAAUUUAUUUUUACAUUAUUCCAUGGCUUUUCCCUUCAUUCAUACCUCUAGCGUGAUAAUCAGUUUGCAAUGAAUUCCGCUCAAAAUGGAGCUAGGGGUUGAAUUAAACUUAAAUCAAGAUUAGUGGUUUAAGGCCCUACCUUGACCUAUAAUGGUUUACUUUUAUAAAUUGUUAUUUGGAUGGAGAGUUGUCACAUUGACACUCAUACCACAUUUUGCUAUAUCUAUUUUGCUCCAUGUUGAAGGCCUAAAACAUGUAAAUAUGAUAUAAAUAACAGCAGCACAAACGCUUUUUAUUUGAUUCUUUUGUUUUUUGCUGUGCUUUUAUUGAUUUUGUGUCAUAGAUGAAUUUCCCAUAUCAUUUUUUAUCUGUUAUUGGAAUUAAAGAUUCCGAAAUAAUAAAUUGUAGUCAAUUUAUCCAUAAAAAAAAUCGUUACGCUGAUUGCAACCAUAAACUUCUACGUACAAAAUUUACAUUUUAGCAAUCGUUGCCGGAGAGACAUGUACUGGCAACUCAAACUUGAAUUCUGAAUGCUCACAUCUCAACUGUGAUGGUGGCUGGCAUUUGGCAUGUGUAAACACCCAAUGUACAUGUGUUGAAAACACAGCUCACAGUAAGUGCACGUUUUAAAUUUUAUCCUAGAAGCUAGAAAAAUCUACCUUUGUGAUGAUAAAUUGUUGUAGAUACACAUACACUUUGAAAAAGACCCCUGCAUCCUCUUCGAGUACAUCUUUAUUCGACAUAAAUCAAAACGACAAGGCUAGAGAAAAGACCUGAGUACGAUAUAAAACAAAUAAAAGGAUGAGUUAUUGUUUUUUUUUUCUGUUGUUUUCAGUUCUAAAUCGGCACCACAACAUCCCAUCUGAAUCAAUACGUUCAGGAUAUAUAUCCAGAAGAGUAGUUCAGACUAUUAUAUUUAGUACCCUUGUUUUAACAUUGAACUCUGAAGGGUUGCCAGUCUUAUUAUGCAUCCUUAUCGAUCCUGAAAGUCAUGUUUACCUGAUUGUAAUAAGCUAACUAACAUGUAUUGAAAUAUUGGUAAUAUUUUGAUGCUUUGGCCUUGGAGAUUAGAUAUUCACAGAAUUGUUAGGCGCCAAAACGUUGAAGUUCGCUAACUGUCUUUCAAUGAAUAUGAUCGAAAUUGAUAUAACUCAUACACGUUAGGGGAAUGCAUGCCCCUACUCAAAUAGAUAUAUUCGUAUGGCGUUAGUUUGAAUAAUUUGUUAUGGUUAAUAAAAAGGUUCAGUUAGAUGUGUAUGAUAAAGAGAUUCAGACAAAUAAUUUUCAAUGUUAUUCCCGAUACUAAAAUAGCAAGCAGCUUACAACAUCGAUCUGACCUGCAUUACUCGGUAUGGUAGCAGCAUGUUUUAGCAAAUAGUGAGUAAACUAUAAAACAAACGAGGUUCUUCAUAGGGGCUUCUUUAUUCUUAUCCAGGGUUAUUCAUAAAUGAAAUAUGUACAUGUAUAUAUAAAAAUUGUAAUUUAGUUAGAAAUUGUGUAUUUUAAAAAUGUUUUACUUAAAUGCUAUAUUUAUCAUUUUAGCCUGUACUUCAAAAGCUGAAUGUGAUGCCGUAAACUCCUGGGACUGCCCCAAUCGUCGUCGUCAUUGUGUUGAUGGCACUUGCAGAUGUACCAGAUUUUAAUUGUACUUGUAAUAAAAAUGGCAAGUUAGUAUUUUCUGUUGUUGUUUUUUAUUUACUGUACAAUAUGCGGAAAUAUCAUGAAAAUAUGAUAAGAAUAAUUUUCAAGGGUUUAGCCUUAAAUUCUUCCGUACUAUUUAAGCAACCAACACAUGCAAAGAUAUAACCAGUAUUCUUAGCUGGGAGUGGGAUGUUUUUCUCGGAGAAUGAGGUCUGCAAUUAAUAGAAUGACGUUUUCUAUUGUAUAUAAAUUAGAUAAGAUGUGUGAUACUGAUACACACACGACAAUGAAACAAAAAUCUUACGACGCACACACUAGACAAAUGAGAUCCACUUUGACCGUCUUUGACAACAGAUAUAUAUCUAUACAAAAUAUAAAUGUUUUAGUCUGUCCCGCUUCAGGUUUAAGUUUUUGGUCAAGGUAGUUUUUGGUGAAGUUGAAGUCCAAUCAACUUGAAACUUAGUACAUAUGUUCCCUGUGAUAUGAUCUUUCUAAUUGUAAUGCCAAAUUAGAGUUUUAUCCUAAUUUCACGGUCUACUGAACACAGAAAAUGAUAGUGCGAGUGGACACAUUCUUGUUAUGCCAUUGACCUAAUAUUGUGUUUAUACUGCAACUUACUUUUAAAUCGUAACACAAAUGUCAAACUAAUUUUCAUCCCCUAAUCACCCCGUAUAACCCCGAUACAAAUGAAUCCGGACGUUGACGCGUUCGAAGCGAUAAUCAGGACAACAUUUGGGAUGACAACAAUUUCGAAUGCCUCUCUAGAACAUAUUUGAGUAUAAAUAAAUAUGUCAAUGUGCAAGUUAGUUUAUUUAUUCAAUUAUACAGUUGUUGUAAGUUUUAGAUAUUGCUUAGAACGUUUGAUAAAACUGCUAGAUGCAAAACGCACAUACAUGGUGCAAUUUCAUACGUUUUAUGAGAUAAACAAUGCUAAAUAAUAAUAAUAAUAAUAAUAAUAAUAUCUUUAUUUAGAGAGAGUAACUCAUUUGGAUUACACCAAUUUUCAAUAAGGCUCUCUUAAUACAAUAAUAAUUACAUUACAAAUAAACAAUGCAUCAAUAAUAAUGGUAAAUAAAGAUUAUGUACAAUUUAAAAUACAAUAAACAAUUAUGAUAUGGCAUUACAGUAAAAAUAUGAUGGUAAUGUUAAAAGUACAUAGAUUUGUAUUUAUGUUUAAAUUCGGAUACUGUAUUUGAUUUUUUUUAUUGAAUUAGGAAGAGCAUUCCACACUUUUGGUCCAUUGUACGAGAAAACUAGACUUAUACAACUCUGUAUUUGGUUUUGGAAUAAUAAAAUUAUCUGAG